Non-coding RNA from Triticum urartu, 125 nucleotides. The record is from Rfam. Lineage: Eukaryota; Viridiplantae; Streptophyta; Magnoliopsida; Poales; Poaceae.
UUUGUACUCCCUCCGUCCCGAAUUACUUGUUGCAUAAAUGGGUAAAAAUGGAUGUAUCUAGAACUAAAAUAUGUCUAGAUACAUCCAUUACCGCGACAAGUAAUUCCGGACGGAGGGAGUAUGUG